CCUACGGGGAGCUGCAGUAGGGAAUCUUCCACAAUUGGCUAAAGCCUUAUUGAUCAACUCCUCGUUGUUGAAGAAGGUCUUCGGACCGUAAAACCCUGUUGUUAGAGAAGAAAGUGCGUGAGAGUAACUGUUCACGUUUCGACGGUAUCUAACCAGAAAGCCACGGCUAACUACGUGCCAGCAGCCGCGGUAAUACGUAGGUGGCAAGCGUUAUCCGGAUUUAUUGGGCGUAAAGGGAACGCAGGCGGUCUUUUAAGUCUGAUGUGAAAGCCUUCGGCUUAACCGGAGUAGUGCAUUGGAAACUGGGAGACUUGAGUGCAGAAGAGGAGAGUGGAACUCCAUGUGUAGCGGUGAAAUGCGUAGAUAUAUGGAAGAACACCAGUGGCGAAAGCGGCUCUCUGGUCUGUAACUGACGCUGAGGUUCGAAAGCGUGGGUAGCAAACAGGAUUAGAUACCCGGGUAGUC
This 465-nucleotide ribosomal RNA is filed under the name uncultured bacterium. RNAcentral describes it as "partial 16S ribosomal RNA". It matches the Rfam family "Bacterial small subunit ribosomal RNA", at positions 338 to 795 of the family's 1533-position model. The record is from RNAcentral.